GCUCCUUGCUGCCCUCGCGUGUCUGAAAGGCGGCACUGCACGCGGGAGGGGGGGCGCGCUCACGGCUGCCCUCGCGUGUCGACAAGGCAGCACUGCAGCCGCCGGCGGCCACCGCUGCGUACGAAGACCGUUGCGGGCAGCCGGCGCACACGUGCGCGCUGCCGGUCGCCGCGUUGGCCGCUAUUCUGCGCUCUCUCGGGGACGGGGUAGCCCACCGAAGGGGGACAUCUCGAAGAGAAGCAGCAAGAGCUGGGGGUCCGGUGGUUCAUUUUGGUCGUCGCCUGUGAGGCCAGCAUGCAAGAGUAAGAGGAAGCUAGGAGCAGUCUCAAAAAGAGGUGGAACCAAGGACAGCAAAUGCUGACGAGGAGAAGAGACGGACGAGCGUUUGCUUGCGGUUAAUACCGAAGGGAGGGGAUGAAACAAGGAAGCCAGAAUGCAGCGGCCCCUCGAUAUCACCAGGAACUGCUACAGGAGGAGGCGUUCUGGCACGGGUAACUAGGGUAAGUAUGGCUAAUGACCGUUAGCAGUUAUUUUGGCCUCCCCGAGGCAGCGCUGAGGACUAAGUAACCUGAGGGGCUCUGGCCUGGGUUGGGGCAGAAGUGCAGGCAGGCGGGAUCAGGCAUUUUCCUCUCAGCUCUCCGAGCUGAAUCCUAGCCCUGAAGGAAAAAGCACUGGGGGGAGGCUACUCGGACACCUGCCAUGUCGAGGGCAGGGGCAGGAGCUGACCCUUCCCCGACGGACGGACGUACGGACAGACGCUGGUGCGGCGGUGACUCUUUGGAUAUCGUAGGUAAGGGGAGGCACGCUGGUGCCGAGCUCCAGGGCGGUUUGCCUGAACACGAUGCCUGAGGCAGGAGGUUACGCAUUGUGUCCGGGGCUGGGAGCUGGUCCCCGAGUCCCAUGUACUUGGGAGUGCCUGCGCUUGCCAGGGUGCCCGGUGCUGUUCCCAGAGCUGCGGGGAAUUUCCCUUGCGUUGCCUGGACCCUCGGGGCUCUUGGGGGUGUUUCCCCUCAUCGCGAGGGCUGCCAGAGCCCCUCCAGGGCUGCGUGAGGUCCCCGAACCGCUCCCGGAUUUGCUUUUGGCACUCCGCAGUGUCGCUCGUGUGCCUGGGGCAGCCUGCAGGCGCCAUCCUGUCAGCCGCGUUGAGCCCUGCGGCGUGCCUGGUGACCCCUCUGGUGUGCGCCAAGGCCCUUCCUCUGUAUUUUGGUCUGCCCCAGAGCCCUGCACUUGCCCUCUGAUGCCCUCAGGACCCCUCAGUUCACAUUCUGGGUUGCCCCCGAGCCCUCUGCGUGCCUUUCGGUGCGCCCCGUGGCCCCGUGUGUGUUUUGCGGCACGCCGCAGAGGUCUCUGUUUAGCUUUUUCUCCUGUCCUGGAGUUUUCUGGGUGCUUCUGGGUGUGCCCCAGGGCCCUCCUUUUGGUGCCCCCCGAGUCACUCUGUUUGCUCUAUCGUUCUUUUUUUUUUUUUUUCUUGACUUGUGUUGCACCCAGAGCUCUCGAUUUGUUCUCUUGUGCUCCGCAUACUCCCCUUUCCGCACUCGACACCCCAGGCAGGGCUCUCCCUUCAGCUCUCAGCAAGCUGCUGUCAGGAGAGUGGGGGUGCCUCUGCUGCCCUGGCAGCCCCAGCUGUCCCUGAAGGGGCUGAUGGCCAGGCCCCCUGCCCAGUUCCUGCAGGCCCACAGCUGCGGGCCCUGGGGCUGGGAUGAAUGCCAGGGGGAGCUGGGUGGCAGGACAGGCCCCAGGUGGGGCUGAUGGCAAGGGCAGGCCCACAUUUGGGGGCUGGGGCCGCAGCUGGGGGGAGCUGGCGCUGGGGCAGGAGCUGGGCAGCGGAGCUGCCACGGAGCACGGCCCUUCGGGCCCAGCCCGGCGGCCGCCCCGCGGAGGAGGUGAGCGAGGCCGGGGGAGGCGCGCUGCAGGCUGCGGGUCCCGCAUGUGCCGGGGGUCCCGGCGGCUGGGAGCGUCCCGGGGCCACGGAGGCGGGGGGAGGAAGGGGGUGCGCCGGGGCUGUGGUGCGG
Dromaius novaehollandiae (emu) is the source of this 2012-nucleotide long non-coding RNA. RefSeq lists it as uncharacterized. The transcript is spliced from 3 exons. NCBI's taxonomy places the organism in Eukaryota, Metazoa, Chordata, Aves, Casuariiformes, Dromaiidae. The record is from RefSeq and is a predicted model, not a curated record.